AUGCUCUUAAAUACGGAAAUUCCGAGAGUUGCCCGUUCGAUAAGGAUGACGAAUAGCAAUCCAGAGGUAUUAUACAACCUUCAUCAUACAGGGAACGGAAACCACGCGCAUCGAUCGAGUAAGGUUGUAUCAACUCAGGCGGACUCAUCCUCGGGCACUCCACCCUCAUGUUUAAGUUUGCAUGGAGUAAAACCUGGCCCAUUAAUUUUGUCGGGACAGUACGGGACCAGUUAUUUCACAAACGCCUCGGGGGACCUAAGUGAAGAUGAGCUACCAAGCUGCGCCUACGCAAGUCGGUCCGCCCACCACGUUUCGCCUUACAUCGACGUUCAUGACCGCGAGGACGGUGUUUUGGUGGCCGGCGAAUCGGAGCAUUUUUUCGGGAGCAACGGGAGCCCCUACCGAGUGCAGCGGCACGCAGCCAACAUUAGGGAAAGGAAGAGGAUGUUAAGGUCAGCAGAAACCUCCAACUCGCUUCGUCCAAGUCGCGCCAACUCAGAGCGACCUCCUGUCAAAAUCAGCAUCAACUCGGCGUUCGAUGAACUCAGAGGUCACGUGCCCACAUUUCCCUACGAGAAACGGUUGAGCAAGAUCGACACUCUUCGCCUGGCCAUUGCCUACAUUGCUCUCCUACGGGAGGUCCUCAACGCAGACUGUGAUCCGCUAACGUACGUCGAGAAGUGUCUUCGAGGAGACCGCCACGCCGAUUGGAACACAAGCGAUCUCACAGCUCGUUUAUCAUGGAUAAAUUGGGAAAACCUUGGAGUGACACCCGGCCGAAGAGGAGUUUUGACAUCAUCAGCAUCACUGCCUGACAAUAUUCAUAUCUGA
RNAcentral lists this long non-coding RNA (831 nucleotides) under Bemisia tabaci. RNAcentral's name for it is "lncRNA ENSSSA1NGG005167". Lineage: Eukaryota; Metazoa; Arthropoda; Insecta; Hemiptera; Aleyrodidae. The record is from RNAcentral.